This 299-nucleotide ribosomal RNA is filed under the name uncultured bacterium. Its description in RNAcentral is "partial 16S ribosomal RNA". It matches the Rfam family "Bacterial small subunit ribosomal RNA", at positions 475 to 776 of the family's 1533-position model. The record is from RNAcentral.
CUAUGCGCCUUGCCAGCCCGCUCAGGUGUGCCAGCAGCCGCGGUAAUACGUAGGGGGCAAGCGUUAUCCGGAUUUACUGGGUGUAAAGGGAGCGUAGACGGCAGUGCAAGUCUGGAGUGAAAGGCGGGGGCCCAACCCCUGGACUGCUCUGGAAACUGUCCGGCUGGAGUGCAGGAGAGGUAAGUGGAAUUCCUAGUGUAGCGGUGAAAUGCGUAGAUAUUAGGAGGAACACCAGUGGCGAAGGCGGCUUACUGGACUGUAACUGACGUUGAGGCUCGAAAGCGUGGGGAGCAAACAGG